Molecule: ribosomal RNA, 87 nt
Filed under: Thomasclavelia cocleata
Lineage: Bacteria; Bacillati; Bacillota; Erysipelotrichia; Erysipelotrichales; Coprobacillaceae
Source: RNAcentral
UGGUAGCGAUAGCAUGAUGGACACACCUGUACCCAUACCGAACACAGAAGUUAAGCAUCAUAACGGCGAAGAUAGUACUGAGGUGCG